This is a long non-coding RNA of Beta vulgaris subsp. vulgaris (sugar beet), 169 nucleotides long. RefSeq lists it as uncharacterized. The record is from RefSeq and is a predicted model, not a curated record. Lineage: Eukaryota; Viridiplantae; Streptophyta; Magnoliopsida; Caryophyllales; Amaranthaceae. The transcript is spliced from 3 exons.
GCCCCCCAUUACUGAAUCUGGCCCCAUUCCACAAAAUAAUGAGAUGCCCCCCAUUAAUGAUUCUGGCCCAAUUCCAGAAAAUACUGAGAUACCAAUUUCACAACCAUCAUCAACACAUCACAGUCCUGUAAAUAUACCUGCAGAAGAUGAAUCAGAAAAUGAAGAAGAG